GCGAUGCUGCCCCGCCCCCUGAGGGCCGGCCCCCUGAAGCGCAAGAGAAGGAGGGGCGCGCAGGGAUCGCGCCUAGUCUCUCCGCCUGCGGAGCCGUGGGGUCCCGGCAGCCCGCAGGAGUGCUAAGUAAGGGUCCUUCAGGGCGGGAACCAGGUUCCAGGCAGGGACGCAGGCUACGUUCGAAUAAAAGUACCGAAGGUCAUAAGGCCCCAGUUCAGAUGGGACUUCCCCGCGUGACAGCACAGAGAUAACGGCCAGCCCUGGGCGAAGAUUGAAGAUCUCAAACAGACAAAUCAUGGCUUGGAAGAAUAUGUUAGGAAACUCUUGGAUAGUAAGGAGGUGGUAAGCAGUCAAGUAGAUGAUUUAACCAGCCACAAUGAGCAUCUUUGUAAAGAAUUGAUUAAAAUUGACCAACUAGCAGAGCAACUCGAAAAAGAGAAAAAUUUUGUGGUGGAUUCCGCCAACAAGGAACUUGAAGAAGCCAAGAUUGAUCUCAUUUGCCAGCAAAAUAAUAUUAUAGUAUUGGAAGAUACAAUAAAAAGGCUUAAAUCUAUAAUUUUAGAUACUGAAAAAGCACAAAAUAAAUCUCCUUCUA
Molecule: long non-coding RNA, 595 nt
Filed under: Homo sapiens (human)
Lineage: Eukaryota; Metazoa; Chordata; Mammalia; Primates; Hominidae
Description: non-protein coding lnc-MITD1-2:1
Source: RNAcentral